Molecule: ribosomal RNA, 512 nt
Filed under: Verticillium sacchari
Lineage: Eukaryota; Fungi; Ascomycota; Sordariomycetes; Glomerellales; Plectosphaerellaceae
Description: partial large subunit ribosomal RNA
Rfam family: Eukaryotic large subunit ribosomal RNA
Source: RNAcentral
GGCGAGUGAAGCGGCAACAGCUCAAAUUUGAAAUCUGGUCCCCAGGGCCCGAGUUGUAAUUUGUAGAGGAUGCUUUUGGUGAGGUGCCGCCCGAGUUCCCUGGAACGGGACGCCACAGAGGGUGAGAGCCCCGUCUGGCUGGCCGCCGAGCCUCUGUAAAGCUCCUUCGACGAGUCGAGUAGUUUGGGAAUGCUGCUCAAAAUGGGAGGUAUAUGUCUUCUAAAGCUAAAUAUUGGCCAGAGACCGAUAGCGCACAAGUAGAGUGAUCGAAAGAUGAAAAGCACCUUGAAAAGAGGGUUAAAUAGUACGUGAAAUUGUUGAAAGGGAAGCGCUUGUGACCAGACUUGGGCGCGGCGGAUCAUCCGGGGUUCUCUCCGGUGCACUUCGCCGCGUCUAGGCCAGCAUCAGUUCGUCGCGGGGGAAAAAGGCUUCGGGAACGUGGCUCCUCCGGGAGUGUUAUAGCCCGUUGCAUAAUACCCUGCGGUGGACUGAGGACCGCGCAUCUGCAAGGA